AUUGAACGCUGGCGGAAUGCUUUACACAUGCAAGUCGAACGGCAGCACGGACUUCGGUCUGGUGGCGAGUGGCGAACGGGUGAGUAACAUAUCGGAACGUAUCCAAUAAUGGGGGAUAACUAAUCGAAAGGUUGGCUAAUACCGCAUACGCCCUACGGGGGAAAGCAGGGGAUCUUCGGACCUUGCGUUAAUUGAGCGGCUGAUAUCUGAUUAGCUAGUUGGUGAGGUAAAAGCUCACCCAGGCGACGAUCAGUAGCUGGUCUGAGAGGACCACCAGCCGCACUGGAAAGGGGACACGGUCCAGACUCCUGCGGGAGGCAGGGGUGGGGAAUUUUGGACAGUGGACGCAGGUGUGAUCCAGCCAUUCCGCGUGAGUUACGAAGGCCUUCGGGUUGUAAAACUCUUUCGCAAGGGAAGAAAACUUACUUUCUAAUAAAGAGUGAGGUUGACGGUACCUUGAUAAGAAGCACCGGCUAACUACGUGCCAGCCGCCGCCGUAA
Molecule: ribosomal RNA, 500 nt
Filed under: uncultured bacterium
Lineage: Bacteria
Description: partial 16S ribosomal RNA
Rfam family: Bacterial small subunit ribosomal RNA
Source: RNAcentral